CUUUGGCAACUCAUAGCUACACUCCUCUGCUCUUCGAAUCAACCAAUCAGAAGCCACCAGGCCCUCGCACAAAGACUGGAGGGCCUUCGACAGACACCUCAGUCGUGCGCAAGUUGGAAAACAGUCAAGACGUGCCGCAGUAACCUCCAAGUUUCCCCCCCCUCCGAACUUCGUAAUCAUGUUCCAAAGCAGUAUGUUUUAUGGGCAACGCAAUGCUGCAUUGGAGACUCAGGAACGUGUACCAUGGGUAGCCCCUGACGACGCUGAAGGAAGUGAUGUCGACGUGAGCCCCUUUGGACAUUGACAGUGAUGAUGACGACCCUACCUACGUUCCUGACGAAGGCCUUACUCAGGACGAUGCCUUUGACCCUCCUAACUCUAGAGCUCGCAAGGUCAAUGUUGUUGUCCCUCAAGCGAUGCCUAUGGAAGAGGAAGGUGAGCCUAACCCUAAGAGGUCUCGUGCUGAUGAAUGGAAGAAGGAAGACAUUGAUAUCCGUGCCCUGCCCAACUUCAUUCAUCAGAAGCCUGACUAUUUGAGGGAACCUUAUGAAUAUUU
Molecule: long non-coding RNA, 556 nt
Organism: Macrobrachium nipponense
Lineage: Eukaryota; Metazoa; Arthropoda; Malacostraca; Decapoda; Palaemonidae
Exons: 3
Source: RefSeq, a predicted model, not a curated record